CGAACGGGUGAGUAACACGUGGGCAACCUGCCCGAAAAGAAGGGGGAUAACACUUGGAAACAGGUAGCUAAUACCGCAUAACCAUAGUUACCGCAUGGUAACUAUGUAAAAGGUGGCUAUGCUACCGCUUUUGGAUGGGCCCGCGACGCAUUAGCUAGUUGGUGGGGGUAAAGGCUUACCAAGGCAAUGAUGCGUAGCCGAACUGAGAGGUUGAUCGGCCACAUUGGGACUGAGACACGGCCCAAACUCCUACGGGAGGCAGCAG
RNAcentral lists this ribosomal RNA (265 nucleotides) under uncultured bacterium. Its description in RNAcentral is "partial 16S ribosomal RNA". It matches the Rfam family "Bacterial small subunit ribosomal RNA", at positions 99 to 354 of the family's 1533-position model. The record is from RNAcentral.